Molecule: transfer RNA, 71 nt
Filed under: Stegodyphus mimosarum
Lineage: Eukaryota; Metazoa; Arthropoda; Arachnida; Araneae; Eresidae
Rfam family: tRNA
About the family: Transfer RNA (tRNA) molecules are approximately 80 nucleotides in length. Their secondary structure includes four short double-helical elements and three loops (D, anti-codon, and T loops).
Source: Rfam by way of RNAcentral
GCCAUAGUGGUGCAACGGUAGCACACUCGGCGCGUAUUCAACAGGUCCAGGUUCGAAUCCCGGCGAGGGCA